AACGCUGGCGGCGUGCCUAACACAUGCAAGUCGAGCGGGGACAUACGACGGAUAGGAAGUUUCGGAUGGAAUUGAAGAUGUAUUGUUCUAGCGGCGGACGGGUGAGUAACGCGUGAGCAACCUGUCCCUUACAGGGGGAUAACACAGCGAAAGUUGUACUAAUACCGCAUAAGACCACGGGGAGACAUCUUCCAGGGGUCAAAGGAGCAAUCCGGUAAGGGGUGGGCUCGCGUCCGAUUAGAUAGUUGGUGAGGUAACGGCCCACCAAGUCGACGAUCGGUAGCCGACCUGAGAGGGUGAUCGGCCACAUUGGGACUGAGACACGGCCCAAACUCCUACGGGAGGCAGCAGUGGGGAAUAUUGGGCAAUGGGGGAAACCCUGACCCAGCAACGCCGCGUGAGGGAAGAAGGUUUUCGGAUCGUAAACCUCUGUCCUUGGUGAAGAGUGAGAGACGGUAGCCAAGGAGGAAGCCCCGGCUAACUACGUGCCAGCCGCUGC
Molecule: ribosomal RNA, 499 nt
Filed under: uncultured bacterium
Lineage: Bacteria
Description: bacterial SSU rRNA
Rfam family: Bacterial small subunit ribosomal RNA
Source: RNAcentral